This 197-nucleotide ribosomal RNA is filed under the name uncultured bacterium. RNAcentral's name for it is "partial 16S ribosomal RNA". It matches the Rfam family "Bacterial small subunit ribosomal RNA", at positions 328 to 539 of the family's 1533-position model. The record is from RNAcentral.
ACGCUCGACACCUACGGGAGCAGCAGUCGGGAAUAUUGCGCAAUGGAGGAAACUCUGACGCAGUGACGCCGCGUAUAGGAAGAAGGUUUUCGGAUUGUAAACUAUUGUCGUUAGGGAAGAAAAAGGACAGUACCUAAGGAGGAAGCUCCGGCUAACUACGUGCCAGAGCCGCGGUAAUCUGAGCGGGCUGGCAAGGC